UUCAAAACUUUUUCGCUCAAAACUUUUCAGUUCCCUCCACUGCCUUCCAUCUUCUCAAAUCAAGGUUAAGAUCAGUCUUCUCUCAUCCUCCAUAGGUGACACCAGUUGAUACCAAAAUCUUGAACUCGAAGCGCGGGAUUCUAGGAGAGGGUGUGAAUAAUUCACGCAAACAUUGGUCGAUUUUUUCAUCCUGGAUUAUUAAACUGAUUUCACGAAACUCCAUUGCAGCAGUUUCAUCACAAGUUCAAGAUUUGCACCUCCUCGAGAUUUUAUACUUGCAGUGCUUACUGUUGAAUUGGACUAUUUAUCAAGAGCAAAAGCAAGAGAAGAACAGGUUGAUGCCAUUGUUGUAACUCAGACCAGG
Spinacia oleracea (spinach) is the source of this 364-nucleotide long non-coding RNA. RefSeq lists it as uncharacterized. NCBI's taxonomy places the organism in Eukaryota, Viridiplantae, Streptophyta, Magnoliopsida, Caryophyllales, Amaranthaceae. The transcript is spliced from 3 exons. The record is from RefSeq and is a predicted model, not a curated record.